RNAcentral lists this ribosomal RNA (194 nucleotides) under uncultured eukaryote. RNAcentral describes it as "partial 18S ribosomal RNA". It matches the Rfam family "Eukaryotic small subunit ribosomal RNA", at positions 1 to 191 of the family's 1831-position model. The record is from RNAcentral.
GGAACCUGGUUGAUCCUGCCAGUAGUCAUACGCUUGUCUCAAAGGUUAAGCCAUGCAUGUCUAAGUAUAAACGAUUCUAUACUGUGAAACUGCGAAUGGCUCAUUAUAUCAGUUAUAGUUUAUUUGAUACUACCUUACUACUUGGAUAACCGUAGUAAUUCUAGAGCUAAUACAUGCAUAAAAUCUCAACUGCC